Molecule: ribosomal RNA, 362 nt
Filed under: uncultured bacterium
Lineage: Bacteria
Description: bacterial SSU rRNA
Rfam family: Bacterial small subunit ribosomal RNA
Source: RNAcentral
AGCGAACGCUAGCGGGUGGCUUAACACAUGCAAGUCGAGCGGGGUCUUCGGGCCCAGCGGCGAACGGGUGAGUAACACGUAGGAUAUCUGCCUUUUGGUGGGGCAUAGCCGGGGGAAACCCCGAUUAAUACCGCAUAUGGCCUAUGGGUCAAAGCCUUCGGGCGCCAAGAGAGGAGCCUGCGGCCCAUUUAUUUAAUCCUAGUUGGUGGGGUAAUGGCCUACCAAGGGUACGAUGGGUAGCUGGGUCUGAGAGGACGAUCAGCCACACUGGAACUGAGACACGGUCCAGACUCCUACGGAGGCAGCAGUGGGGAAUAUUGCGCAAUGGCGGAAGCCUGACGCAGCCAACCCGCGUGUGUGAU